CAAGGAGUUUAACAUGUGUGCAAGUCAAAGGGUUCUACGAAACCCCUAGGCGCAGUGAAAGUGAAGUUCAUGCUGUACUCUUGUGCAUACGCAGUGCAGUGUGGCGAGGUGAGAUCUCCUUGUGCUCAUGACACACGCCGCAGGCCUUACUGGGCAUUAUUAGGGGGGCAAGGAGCGCAUCACCGGCCCGUCGCAUGUUGUGGUCAUGGGUUCACUUGUGUGCGGAUGGAUGUGUAUAUGUCCGGAGGCAUACAAAGCCUGUGCGUCAGCGCGGCGGAGCAUGAGCACCCAUGUUGAGACCCGAAAGAUGGUGAACUAUGCUUGCGUAGGUUGAAGCCAGAGGAAACUCUGGUGGAGGACCGUAGCGAUUCUGACGUGCAAAUCGAUCGUCAAACGUGAGUAUA
RNAcentral lists this ribosomal RNA (404 nucleotides) under Anoplocephala sp. SW-2014. RNAcentral's name for it is "eukaryotic LSU rRNA". It matches the Rfam family "Eukaryotic large subunit ribosomal RNA", at positions 667 to 919 of the family's 3401-position model. The record is from RNAcentral. Lineage: Eukaryota; Metazoa; Platyhelminthes; Cestoda; Cyclophyllidea; Anoplocephalidae.